Molecule: ribosomal RNA, 1540 nt
Filed under: Brevibacterium sp. S22
Lineage: Bacteria; Bacillati; Actinomycetota; Actinomycetes; Micrococcales; Brevibacteriaceae
Description: bacterial SSU rRNA
Rfam family: Bacterial small subunit ribosomal RNA
Source: RNAcentral
UUUUAUGGAGAGUUUGAUCCUGGCUCAGGACGAACGCUGGCUGCGUGCUUAACACAUGCAAGUCGAACGCUGAAGCCGGGUGCUUGCACCUGGUGGAUGAGUGGCGAACGGGUGAGUAACACGUGAGUAACCUGCCCCUGAUUUCGGGAUAAGCCUGGGAAACCGGGUCUAAUACCGGAUACGACCGGAGAAGGCAUCUUCUCUGGUGGAAAGUUUUUCGAUUGGGGAUGGGCUCGCGGCCUAUCAGUUUGUUGGUGGGGUAAUGGCCUACCAAGGCGACGACGGGUAGCCGGCCUGAGAGGGCGACCGGCCACACUGGGACUGAGACACGGCCCAGACUCCUACGGGAGGCAGCAGUGGGGAAUAUUGCACAAUGGGGGAAACCCUGAUGCAGCGACGCAGCGUGCGGGAUGACGGCCUUCGGGUUGUAAACCGCUUUCAGUAGGGAAGAAGCCUUUGUGGUGACGGUACCUGCAGAAGAAGUACCGGCUAACUACGUGCCAGCAGCCGCGGUAAUACGUAGGGUACGAGCGUUGUCCGGAAUUAUUGGGCGUAAAGAGCUCGUAGGUGGUUGGUCACGUCUGCUGUGGAAACGCAACGCUUAACGUUGCGCGGGCAGUGGGUACGGGCUGACUAGAGUGCAGUAGGGGAGUCUGGAAUUCCUGGUGUAGCGGUGAAAUGCGCAGAUAUCAGGAGGAACACCGGUGGCGAAGGCGGGACUCUGGGCUGUAACUGACACUGAGGAGCGAAAGCAUGGGGAGCGAACAGGAUUAGAUACCCUGGUAGUCCAUGCCGUAAACGUUGGGCACUAGGUGUGGGGGGCAUUCCACGUUCUCCGCGCCGUAGCUAACGCAUUAAGUGCCCCGCCUGGGGAGUACGGUCGCAAGGCUAAAACUCAAAGGAAUUGACGGGGGCCCGCACAAGCGGCGGAGCAUGCGGAUUAAUUCGAUGCAACGCGAAGAACCUUACCAAGGCUUGACAUACACUGGACCGUUCUGGAAACAGUUCUUCUCUUUGGAGCUGGUGUACAGGUGGUGCAUGGUUGUCGUCAGCUCGUGUCGUGAGAUGUUGGGUUAAGUCCCGCAACGAGCGCAACCCUCGUUCUAUGUUGCCAGCACGUGAUGGUGGGAACUCAUAGGAGACUGCCGGGGUCAACUCGGAGGAAGGUGGGGAUGACGUCAAAUCAUCAUGCCCUUUAUGUCUUGGGCUUCACGCAUGCUACAAUGGCUGGUACAGAGAGAGGCGAACCCGUGAGGGUGAGCGAAUCCCUUAAAGCCAGUCUCAGUUCGGAUCGUAGUCUGCAAUUCGACUACGUGAAGUCGGAGUCGCUAGUAAUCGCAGAUCAGCAACGCUGCGGUGAAUACGUUCCCGGGCCUUGUACACACCGCCCGUCAAGUCACGAAAGUCGGUAACACCCGAAGCCGGUGUCCUAACCUCCUUGUGGGGAGGGGGCCGUCUAAGGUGGGACUGGUGAUUGGGACUAAGUCGUAACAAGGUAGCCGUACCGGAAGGUGCGGCUGGAUCACCUCCUUUCUAAGGA